This 305-nucleotide ribosomal RNA is filed under the name uncultured bacterium. RNAcentral's name for it is "bacterial SSU rRNA". It matches the Rfam family "Bacterial small subunit ribosomal RNA", at positions 337 to 634 of the family's 1533-position model. The record is from RNAcentral.
GCCUACGGGGGGCAGCAGUGGGGAAUAUUGCGCAAUGGGCGAAAGCCUGACGCAGCGACGCCGCGUGGGGGAUGAAGGUCUUCGGACCGUAAACCUCUGUCAGCAGGGAAGAACGGUCACUGUGCUAAUCAGCAGUGAAUUGACGGUACCUGCAAAGGAAGCACCGGCUAACUCCGUGCCAGCAGCCGCGGUAAUACGGAGGGUGCGAGCGUUAAUCGGAAUUACUGGGCGUAAAGCGCUCGUAGGCGGUAUGUCAAGUCAAGGGUGAAAUCCCCGCGCUCAACGUGGGAACUGCCUUUGAAACU